GAUGAACGCUGGCGGCGUGCCUAAUACAUGCAAGUCGAGCGAACAGACGAGGAGCUUGCUCCACUGACGUUAGCGGCGGACGGGUGAGUAACACGUGGAUAACCUACCUAUAAGACUGGGAUAACUUCGGGAAACCGGAGCUAAUACCGGAUAAUAUAUUGAACCGCAUGGUUCAAUAGUGAAAGACGGUUUUGCUGUCACUUAUAGAUGGAUCCGCGCCGCAUUAGCUAGUUGGUAAGGUAACGGCUUACCAAGGCAACGAUGCGUAGCCGACCUGAGAGGGUGAUCUGCCACACUGGAACUGAGACACGGUCCAGACUCCUACGGGAGGCAGCAGUAGGGAAUCUUCCGCAAUGGGCGAAAGCCUGACGGGGCAACGCCGCGUGAGUGAUGAAGGUCUUCGGAUCGUAAAACUCUGUUAUUAGGGAAGAACAAAUGUGUAAGUAACUAUGCACGUCUUGACGGUACCUAAUCAGAAAGCCACGGCUAACUACGUG
Molecule: ribosomal RNA, 497 nt
Filed under: uncultured bacterium
Lineage: Bacteria
Description: partial 16S ribosomal RNA
Rfam family: Bacterial small subunit ribosomal RNA
Source: RNAcentral